Long non-coding RNA from Cylas formicarius (sweet potato weevil), 504 nucleotides. RefSeq lists it as uncharacterized. The record is from RefSeq and is a predicted model, not a curated record. The transcript is spliced from 2 exons. Lineage: Eukaryota; Metazoa; Arthropoda; Insecta; Coleoptera; Brentidae.
CAGAUUUUACUUUUUAAAAUUUCACCCUAACCGCUAUCUUAUCUGCAGUCAAACAGGCAUAUAAGUAUUCCCAAUACGCUUACGCCAGUGUGACAAAUUUCGUAUACCCAAAAAAAGAACUUACAAGCGCGGGUGUUCUUAAAUUCCUCCUCUCCAAAGCAAUGCUUAUUCUGAGGUUCAGGUAGAACGUGUCGAGUAACAUUUCAUUUCAAUCGCUACAAAUUCGAUUCGACAUGAAUUGUUGCGGGUUCCUGUUCUGGCUUUUGAUCCUCAUCACACUGGCUUUUCCGAUUGCCGUGUUGUGCGCGAUAGUCUACAUUUUUUUGUAUGCCUUCUCGGGCAUUUGUCCUGGAUGCGAGGGCUGCGCGGAAACGUUCCUGAGAGGGGUGCAAUUGCCGGGCUACGCGAUGAGGAAGGUUGUCCAUUGCGAAUGCUAACUCAUGCUUUAACCUAAUUUAUACUAUUUUAUAUUUUUGUACAAAUAAAUAUCAAUGUUGUAUUUUA